CAGUCGCCGCGGGAAUACGAAGGGGGCUAGCGUUGCUCGGAAUGACUGGGCGUAAAGGGCGCGUAGGCGGCGAUCAAAGUCAGGCGUGAAAUUCCUGGGCUCAACCUGGGGGCUGCGCUUGAUACUGGGUUGCUUGAGUGGGGAAGAGGGUCGUGGAAUUCCCAGUGUAGAGGUGAAAUUCGUAGAUAUUGGGAAGAACACCGGUGGCGAAGGCGGCGACCUGGUCCUUGACUGACGCUGAGGCGCGAAAGCGUGGGGAGCAAACAGGAUUAGAUACCCCUGUAGUCCCUGUCUCUUAUAC
Molecule: ribosomal RNA, 301 nt
Filed under: uncultured bacterium
Lineage: Bacteria
Description: partial 16S ribosomal RNA
Rfam family: Bacterial small subunit ribosomal RNA
Source: RNAcentral